Pseudopipra pipra is the source of this 820-nucleotide long non-coding RNA. RefSeq lists it as uncharacterized. The transcript is spliced from 3 exons. NCBI's taxonomy places the organism in Eukaryota, Metazoa, Chordata, Aves, Passeriformes, Pipridae. The record is from RefSeq and is a predicted model, not a curated record.
UAAUGGUGCUCCCAAAUCCCACCUCUUGGGCCUCCCAUCCCAUUCUUUUUGGUCCCCUCAGGCAUCUCCUCCCCAGGAUCUGCUCUGUGUCCUACCCAGGGUCCCCAAACAUCCUCCCACUGAUCAUUCCCAAAGCUUUUCUUUCCAUCCUUCCCCUCAGACCUUUGCCUUUCACCCAGGCCACUGCCCUGGUACCUCCCAAGACCAUUCCUUGCCUCCCUCUCCACUCCCAACCAUCUCCCAGUCCCCUCAUUUUUGUCCUCCUCCAUCCUCCUCCUCCUGUCCCCACCAAGCCUCUCCCUUGCAGUCCCCAUGUCCCUACACUUGAAUUCCUUUCCCCUCCCCUGCAUCCCACACAGGGCCCCUUCAACACCCCAAUCCCAGUCCCGUGGGCUCCCCAGUUCCCCCCAGUUCAGCAUCUUUGGGUCCCCCCCAACCUCCCCCCACCCUCCCUGCAGGCCCUGAAUUCCCCUGGCUCUCCUUGUCUCCAUCCCCACCCUGGGCCCUGCAGGCACAGGGGUUGGAGGUGAAACUGGGUGCAGUGGGAGCAGGGGGAGCAGAAGGGAUUUUCCCCCUCAGACGGGGGCAGCCCUGGGCUGGGGGGCUGGGGACACCCGUGUCCCUCCCCCAGCCCCACAGGGGCCAAUCCUGCUUAAACCUUUGCUCUCCUUGCCCAGGCACUCUUGGCAGGAACCCAAAAUGAUCUGCAGGUGGAUUUAGUGGAAGUUGGGAUCCUGAAGACGGCUCAGCCCCCUGUGGUUGAGAAGGUGGUGGGGCUUGUUCGUGAGAAACGUGUGGCUGCAUCCCUGGAUGUCUGAGG